RNAcentral lists this ribosomal RNA (159 nucleotides) under Staphylococcus sp. KY49P. RNAcentral's name for it is "partial 16S ribosomal RNA". It matches the Rfam family "Bacterial small subunit ribosomal RNA", at positions 1384 to 1533 of the family's 1533-position model. The record is from RNAcentral. Lineage: Bacteria; Bacillati; Bacillota; Bacilli; Caryophanales; Staphylococcaceae.
UACACACCGCCCGUCACACCAUGGGAGUGGGUUGCAAAAGAAGUAGGUAGCUUAACCUUCGGGAGGGCGCUUACCACUUUGUGAUUCAUGACUGGGGUGAAGUCGUAACAAGGUAACCGUAGGGGAACCUGCGGUUGGAUCACCUCCUUACCUAAGAGA